AUUUGCAAGCUCAAUCACCUAUCUCCCUCCAUCUUUCCCCCUAUCUCCAUGAAGAAUAUUUCAUGGAUUCUGCUGGUUUUCUGUAUUUUCAUUCAAUUGCAAAAUACUUCUUCUCAAGAUCCCAACACGUGGCUUAAUAUAGACUGCGGGAUAGAAGCACCCCGUGUGGGACCCAACUUACUCUCGUGGAAUAUGGACCAUCACUUCACUCAAUCGGGCAUCAACAAGCGCCUCCCCGAAAAGCAGCCGCUCGAUGAGAUGACCACUCUCCGAUUCUUUCCUAAUCAGAUGGACCAAAAUUGUUACACAAUACCCGCAUACAAGCGGACCCUGCAGUACAUAAUUGGAGCUGGGUUCUACUACGGCAAUUAUGAUGGGCUCUCAAAACCACCAACGUUUGAUCUGUAUUUAGACGGCCAAAUAUGGUCAACAGUCAAGACGUCGACGAUCGGAGGGCCGAUAUAUGUUGAAGCCAUAUAUGUGACUCAUGGGUCGGGUAGUAUUGGAGUGUGCUUGAUUCAAACAAGGGAUGGAGAAAUCCCUUUUAUUUCUUCACUUGAAGCUAUGCCUUUGUGGACUCAUUUGUACUCACAAAUGGAGAACAAUUCCACUUUCACUCUCGUCAAUAGAACCAACCUUGGUGGUAAUGAAAUUAGGUACACCGGACUUUUCUCGGAUGAAAAAUACAACAGAAUAUGGACAAGUGGAGCCAUCCCACAAAACUGUAAACAAGUCCCUACCCUACCAGAUUCCACCACCGCCACACUAGAAAACGACCCCCCAAAAUUAGUAUUACAAGACUCCAUCGUAUCCAACACAUCUGAUCCAAUAAUCUUGACCGUUGACAAUCCACCAAAUUGGACCUCACGAACCGCUUAUCUUGUACUCUACUUCACAGAGAUGGCAACCAGGCCCACUCUAAACGAUACGAGAAUCAUGGACAUUGAAAUCAACCGUCAGAUGAUGUACACGGUGGGAGCUGAGAUCAAUCAGUGUAAAGUGGUGACACUGUAUCCUGUGCCUCUUGUGGGUCCUACAAUCAAUAUAAAGUUGGCCUCAUCUAGGUUAUCAACCUUGCCUUCGAUGAUCAGCGCAAUGGAAGUUUUUACGAGGGCUAAUUAUAAUCCUCCUCCCAGCUCCGCGGCGGCUCCCGGAACAAAGCCCACCAGUGGUGCAUGGAGAAAUUUUUUUUUACCUUGCAUUGUUUUCUUUUAUAUUUCAUGUGCAAUUGCGUUUUUCUAAUUGUAUUGUUGUUGUAAUCGAU
This 1264-nucleotide unclassified non-coding RNA is filed under the name Hevea brasiliensis (rubber tree). The record is from RNAcentral. Lineage: Eukaryota; Viridiplantae; Streptophyta; Magnoliopsida; Malpighiales; Euphorbiaceae.